This 393-nucleotide unclassified non-coding RNA is filed under the name Hevea brasiliensis (rubber tree). Lineage: Eukaryota; Viridiplantae; Streptophyta; Magnoliopsida; Malpighiales; Euphorbiaceae. The record is from RNAcentral.
UUAGGAGAUGAAAUACCGAACAUUUCAAGAGCCAUUCCCUCAGAUAUGUCAACUUCUGUCUCAUUUGCAGAGUCUUCAAGGAUAAUUUUUGGUAUUUCAGGUAUAUCAUUAUCCUUACCAAGGUAUUUCACCUUGCUUUCGGUUUUCCCUGCAGAUAUUCCACUACCAACACGGAAUACAGCUUGAACCCAGCGCCUAUUCAUCACCAACUCCCUUGACCGAUUUUCCACUUGCUUGAAACACAAGAUGUGCUCCUCAGCAUCAAAACCAUUUCCAUUGAAGAGAUUUAUUAAAAACUCAUCAGAAAAAUAGAAAGCCCUAGUCCCAUCACCCCGGACAUAGAAGUUAUCACUGAUUUUUUUGUUCCUUGGAGGUAAGCCUUUCCUGAGCAAG